This 205-nucleotide long non-coding RNA is filed under the name Elaeis guineensis (African oil palm). Its description in RNAcentral is "long non-coding RNA (EGUI_LNC042192)". Lineage: Eukaryota; Viridiplantae; Streptophyta; Magnoliopsida; Arecales; Arecaceae. The record is from RNAcentral.
AGGAAGCGAGGUAAAAUGAGACCAACAAGGUGCCUAGGUGUGCAAAUGAUUUAAAUUAAGAAAAGAUACCAAACGGGCAAUUCAAAUCAUCAACAUUCUCACAUUAAAAUAAGCAGUAAUUUAGAUAUGCCAAUUCCCAAACUUAUUUGCUUAGGCUCUUAUCCUUUGUUUGGUACGAAGAAUAGAUUGGAAGAAGGAUGGAUAG